AUUGAACGCUGGCGGCAUGCCUUACACAUGCAAGUCGAACGGCAGCACGGGAGCAAUCCUGGUGGCGAGUGGCGAACGGGUGAGUAAUAUAUCGGAACGUGCCCAGUAGUGGGGGAUAACUGCUCGAAAGAGCAGCUAAUACCGCAUACGACCUGAGGGUGAAAGCGGGGGAUCGCAAGACCUCGCGCUAUUGGAGCGGCCGAUAUCAGAUUAGCUAGUUGGUGGGGUAAAGGCCUACCAAGGCAACGAUCUGUAGUUGGUCUGAGAGGACGACCAGCCACACUGGGACUGAGACACGGCCCAGACUCCUACGGGAGGCAGCAGUGGGGAAUUUUGGACAAUGGGCGCAAGCCUGAUCCAGCAAUGCCGCGUGCAGGAAGAAGGCC
This 386-nucleotide ribosomal RNA is filed under the name uncultured bacterium. RNAcentral describes it as "bacterial SSU rRNA". It matches the Rfam family "Bacterial small subunit ribosomal RNA", at positions 29 to 416 of the family's 1533-position model. The record is from RNAcentral.